GAUGAACGCUAGCGGCAGGCCUAAUACAUGCAAGUCGAACGAGAUUAAGAGGCUUGCUUCUUAUGAAAGUGGCGCACGGGUGCGUAACGCGUAUGCAACCUACCUUAAUCAGGGGGAUAGCCCGAAGAAAUUCGGAUUAAGACCGCAUAAAAACACAGGAUAGCAUUAUCCAAUGUUCAAAUAUUUAUAGGAUUAAGAUGGGCAUGCGUGUCAUUAGCUAGUUGGCGGGGUAACGGCCCACCAAGGCGACGAUGACUAGGGGAUCUGAGAGGAUGACCCCCCACACUGGUACUGAGACACGGACCAGACUCCUACGGGAGGCAGCAGUAAGGAAUAGUAGUCAAUGGAGGGAACUCUGAACCAGCCAUGCCGCGUGCAGGAAGACAGCCCUCUGGGUCGUAAACUGCUUUUAUUCGGGAAGAAACCUUUCUACGUGUAGGAAGCUGAAUGUACCGAAGGAAUAAGGAUCGGCUAACUCCGUG
This 482-nucleotide ribosomal RNA is filed under the name uncultured bacterium. Its description in RNAcentral is "partial 16S ribosomal RNA". It matches the Rfam family "Bacterial small subunit ribosomal RNA", at positions 28 to 507 of the family's 1533-position model. The record is from RNAcentral.